GAUGAACGCUAGCGGCAGGCUUAACACAUGCAAGUCGAGGGGCAGCAUGACACGGAGAUUCGUCGAAGUGUUGAUGGCGACCGGCGCAAGGGUGCGUAACGCGUGAGCAACUUGCCCGUUUCUGGGGAAUAACCGGUGGAAACGCCGACUAAUACCCCAUAGCAUUGAUUUCAGGCAUCUGUUAUCAAUUAAAGAAUUUCGGAAACGGAUAGGCUCGCGUGACAUUAGCUAGAUGGCGGGGUAACGGCCCACCAUGGCGACGAUGUCUAGGGGUUCUGAGAGGAAGGUCCCCCCACACUGGAACUGAGACACGGUCCAGACUCCUACGGGAGGCAGCAGUGAGGAAUAUUGGUCAAUGGUCUGACGACUGAACCAGCCAUGCCGCGUGAAGGUGACGGCCCUAUGGGUCUUAAACUUCUUUGUCAAGGGAGCAAUAAGGCGUACGUGUACGUCGAUGAGAGUACCUUGCGAAUAAGCAUCGGCUAACUCCGUG
Molecule: ribosomal RNA, 493 nt
Filed under: uncultured bacterium
Lineage: Bacteria
Description: bacterial SSU rRNA
Rfam family: Bacterial small subunit ribosomal RNA
Source: RNAcentral